Molecule: ribosomal RNA, 471 nt
Filed under: uncultured Pseudoalteromonas sp.
Lineage: Bacteria; Pseudomonadati; Pseudomonadota; Gammaproteobacteria; Alteromonadales; Pseudoalteromonadaceae
Description: bacterial SSU rRNA
Rfam family: Bacterial small subunit ribosomal RNA
Source: RNAcentral
GGCGGACGGGUGAGUAAUGCUUGGGAACAUGCCUUGAGGUGGGGGACAACAGUUGGAAACGACUGCUAAUACCGCAUAAUGUCUACGGACCAAAGGGGGCUUCGGCUCUCGCCUUUAGAUUGGCCCAAGUGGGAUUAGCUAGUUGGUGAGGUAAUGGCUCACCAAGGCAACGAUCCCUAGCUGGUUUGAGAGGAUGAUCAGCCACACUGGAACUGAGACACGGUCCAGACUCCUACGGGAGGCAGCAGUGGGGAAUAUUGCACAAUGGGCGAAAGCCUGAUGCAGCCAUGCCGCGUGUGUGAAGAAGGCCUUCGGGUUGUAAAGCACUUUCAGUCAGGAGGAAAGGGUGUGAGUUAAUACCUCACAUCUGUGACGUUACUGACAGAAGAAGCACCGGCUAACUCCGUGCCAGCAGCCGCGGUAAUACGGAGGGUGCGAGCGUUAAUCGGAAUUACUGGGCGUAAAGCGUAC